GGGCAAGAGGUUCGACCCGAGCGAAGCGAGAAAACGUUGCGUCAGCAACGGCCCGCAGGGCGAGCCACGCAGUGGCGAGUCAUCCUCUAUCACCGACCA
This 99-nucleotide small RNA is filed under the name Salmonella enterica. Its description in RNAcentral is "partial RtT sRNA". It matches the Rfam family "RtT RNA", at positions 34 to 130 of the family's 130-position model. From Rfam's summary of the family: This family represents a bacterial cis-regulatory element known as RtT RNA. The exact function of RtT is unknown although it is thought that it may be involved in changing the cellular response in relation to amino acid starvation. The record is from RNAcentral. Lineage: Bacteria; Pseudomonadati; Pseudomonadota; Gammaproteobacteria; Enterobacterales; Enterobacteriaceae.